GUAGGUGGCAAGCGUUGUCCGGAAUUAUUGGGCGUAAAGCGCGCGCAGGCGGUCCUUUAAGUCUGAUGUGAAAGCCCACGGCUCAACCGUGGAGGGUCAUUGGAAACUGGGGGACUUGAGUACAGAAGAGGAAGGCGGAAUUCCAAGUGUAGCGGUGAAAUGCGUAGAGAUUUGGAGGAACACCAGUGGCGAAGGCGGCUUUCUGGUCUGUAACUGACGCUGAGGCGCGAAAGCGUGGGGAGCAAACAGGAUUAGAUACCCUGGUAGUCCACGCCGUAAACGAUGAGUGCUAAGUGUUAGGGGGUUUCCCGCCCCCCUUAGUGCUGCAGCUAACGCAUUAAGCACUCCGCCUGGGGAGUACGGCCCGCAAGGCUG
This 375-nucleotide ribosomal RNA is filed under the name uncultured organism. Its description in RNAcentral is "partial 16S ribosomal RNA". It matches the Rfam family "Bacterial small subunit ribosomal RNA", at positions 527 to 896 of the family's 1533-position model. The record is from RNAcentral.